RNAcentral lists this ribosomal RNA (253 nucleotides) under uncultured bacterium. RNAcentral describes it as "partial 16S ribosomal RNA". It matches the Rfam family "Bacterial small subunit ribosomal RNA", at positions 524 to 776 of the family's 1533-position model. The record is from RNAcentral.
UACGUAGGGGGCAAGCGUUGUCCGGAAUCAUUGGGCGUAAAGAGCGCGUAGGCGGCCCUGUAAGUCCGCUGUGAAAGUCAAGGGCUCAACCCUUGAAUGCCGGUGGAUACUGCAGGGCUAGAGUCCGGAAGAGGCGAAUGGAAUUCCUGGUGUAGCGGUGAAAUGCGCAGAUAUCAGGAAGAACACCCGUGGCGAAGGCGGUUCUCUGGGACGGUACUGACGCUGAGACGCGAAAGCGUGGGGAGCGAACAGG